RNA transcript from Quercus robur (English oak), 3225 nucleotides. It is a transcript of the gene named acetyl-coenzyme A carboxylase carboxyl transferase subunit alpha, chloroplastic, with no coding region annotated. The transcript is spliced from 13 exons. NCBI's taxonomy places the organism in Eukaryota, Viridiplantae, Streptophyta, Magnoliopsida, Fagales, Fagaceae. The record is from RefSeq and is a predicted model, not a curated record.
AGAGUCUGCACUGCACACGUGCCUAGUUCACAAAAACAAAAAAGAAGCUUUAAUCUGGAUCCCUUCUUCAACGGCCAAACCGAAAAAAGCUGGCUCAUAAUAACACAUCACUCCCCGCACAUCCACACUACACAUUAGUCCCCUCACUUCCUCAUAGAAACUAUCGCCCAACUCUCUCUCUCUCUCUCUCUCUCUCACACAUACAAUACAUAACAAAGCACACACAAACUUUUCUUUUCCUUGACGAUCUCUACGAAGCUCUCUCUCUCUCUCUCAUUGCUUAAUAAUUACCCCCCUCAUUUCAAACCCUUUCUCUUAACCCUUUCCUCUAUCAGAUCCUCUCUCUCUCUCUUUCAGGAUCUCAAUUUCCGGGAAGCUAAUUGAGGGGGAAUUAGAGAAUGGCUUCGAUAUCGCAUUCUCCAGCGGGAUUCGUGGGGACUUCGGCUUCGGAUCUUCUCCGGAGCUCGAGCAAUGGCGUCAAUGGCAUUCCUCUGAGAACUCUAGGGAGGGCGCGAUUUGGCGGCAGCAGCAGCAGCACCACGACGAGGAGGGAUUCCAGGGUCGUGGCGAAGAUUAGGAAGGUGAAGAAGCACGACCACCCGUGGCCAGACAAUCCGGAUCCCAAUGUGAAAGGUGGGAUCCUUACCCAUCUCUCACAUUUCAAGCCUUUGCCAGAGAACGAAAAGCCGAGGCCCAUAACUUUGGAAUUCGAGAAGCCACUUAUCAAUCUAGAGAAGAAAAUCGUUGAUGUGCGGAAGAUGGCGAAUGAAACUGGUUUGGACUUCAGUGAUCAGAUUCUCUCAUUGGAGAAUAAAUAUCAGCAGGCUCUAAAGGAUUUAUAUACACAUCUAACUCCAAUACAGCGGGUGUAUAUUGCACGGCAUCCUAACAGGCCAACUUUCCUUGAUCAUGUGUUUAACAUUACUGAAAAGUUUGUGGAGCUUCAUGGAGACCGGAGUGGGUACGAUGAUCCUGCUAUUGUUACUGGUAUAGGAACCAUAGAUGGUAGGAGGUACAUGUUCAUGGGUCACCAAAAAGGUAGAAACACAAAAGAGAACGUCAAGCGGAACUUUGGGAUGCCUACUCCCCAUGGUUACCGGAAAGCUCUUCGCAUGAUGUAUUAUGCAGAUCACCAUGGGUUUCCUAUAAUUACUUUCAUUGAUACUCCGGGGGCUUAUGCAGACCUCAAAUGUGAAGAACUAGGACAAGGUGAAGCCAUUGCUAACAAUUUAAGGACCAUGUUUGGCUUGAAGGUACCCAUUGUUUCUAUUGUCAUUGGGGAAGGUGGUUCUGGCGGUGCCCUUGCCAUCGGUUGUGCUAAUAAAUUGAUAAUGCUUGAAAAUGCAGUUUUCUAUGUUGCCAGUCCAGAAGCAUGUGCGGCAAUCUUGUGGAAGAGUGCCAAAGCUGCUCCACAGGCAGCUGAGACACUAAGGAUUACUGCUACCGAGUUGUGCAAGCUGCAGAUUGCAGAUGGUGUUAUCCCUGAGCCUCUUGGUGGUGCACAUGCUGAUCCGACUUGGACCUCACAACAGAUAAAAAAUGCAAUUAAUGAAUCAAUGGAUGAGCUUAUGAAGAUGGACACAGAAGAGCUUCUGAAGCAUCGCAUGCUUAAGUUUCGAAAAAUCGGUGGGUUCCAAGAAGGACUCCCAGUAGAUCCUAAGAAAAAAGUCCACAUGAAAAAGAAAGAAGAACCCAUCAUCAGGACUUCCAACCUAAAUAUAGAGGAUGAGGUCAAAAAACUUAUGCAGCAAAGAUUGAAUGCCAAAGAGUCCUCUGUGGAACUUCCAGAGUCAGAUGUAAAUGAAAUGAUAGAAAAACUGAAAAGAGAGGUUGACCGUGAAUACUCUGAGGCUAUUAAGGCAAUGGGUUUGAAGGACAGGCUUGCAAUGUUGCGUGAAGAAUAUUCAAAAGUAAAUUUGCAAGACCAACUCAUGCAUCCAGUCCUAAAGGACAAGAUUGAAAAACUUAGGGAUGAGUUUACCCAGGGUGUCUCUGCAUCUCCUAAUUAUGAAACCUUGAAGUCUAAACUUGACAUGUUGUCGGAAUUAUCAAAAAUCAAGAGUGCUUCUGAAAAGAACAAAAAGUCUGCCACAUUAAAGCAGGCAGUCAAUAAGAAGUUUGUUGAAAUCAUGAAUCGGCCUGAUAUAAAGGAGAAAUACAAGGCACUGGAGGCUGCAAUUGAAAAUUCUGCAGGUCAGGAUUUGGACCAUGAGCUGAAGGAGGAACUUGUGAAGAUGAAGAAAGAGAUAGAGUUGGAACUGGCUGGUGCUAUCAAAUCUCUGGGUUUGGAUGUUGAGGUUGUGAAGUCAAAAGCAAAGGAGAUCAGUGAACAGAUUCCAUUGGAUGUCAAAGUCAAGGUAGAAGAGCUGAAUGAAGAAAUUAAGGGAGAAAUUGAAAAUGUUAUCAAGUCAACAGAUCUGAAGGACAAGAUUGAGCUACUGAAGUUGGAGGUUGCAAAGGCAGGGAAUACACCUGAUGUGGCGUCCAAAAAUAGAAUUGCAGCUUUGGAGCAACAAAUUAAGCAGGGCCUUGCGGAGGCCAUGAAUUCUUCAAACCUAAAAGAGAAGCAUGAAGAGCUCAGGGCAGAAAUUUCCAAAACCAUCGAAUCUUCUGCAGGAUUGGAUGGAAGUUUGGAAAACCAAUUUCCAAAAGAAGAUGGUUCUACGUAUGAUGAACAAGCAGUAGAGAUGAAUGUGGGUGCGAAUCGUUCCUUUGCUUAAUAUAAUACAAUCUUGGUAACUCCAUUCCUGACUUGAAAUGAUCUGAAAGAUAAAUUCAUAUGAUAUCAGUAUUUUGCUGAUAUCCUGUGCUAAAGAAGGUGGAUUGGAGACAAAUGGAGGUUAUUGAUAAAACAGUUGAAGCUGCACUAAUUCUAGGAAAGAUUUUGACUUUCAGCUGUCUUCAAUGCUACCAGCAUUUAUUCAGUCAAAAAAAAAAAAUGCUACCAGCAUUUAUUGCUAUCUCUUGCUCUGGUCCACAUGGUUUUGCAUCCACAGAAACAACAAGGGACAGCAUAACUGAGUAUUUUUCAGCUAGAAUGCUUCAAUUUGUAUUACGUUGUUACAAUUUAGCAUCUCAUGUUCCUUUUUUUUCUCCCUUUUUGGUAGAAUAUUUUAAUUGUUAAUCUUUUUUAUUUAUAGACACACAACUUUGUAUAGAUUGUGCUGAGUGCAAGGGAGGCUAGAAGAGCUUCUAUAUAUUUGAAAUAAGAUGCCGUUUGGUUAA